RNAcentral lists this ribosomal RNA (275 nucleotides) under Methylobacterium sp. RNAcentral's name for it is "partial 23S ribosomal RNA". It matches the Rfam family "Bacterial large subunit ribosomal RNA", at positions 2645 to 2925 of the family's 2925-position model. Lineage: Bacteria; Pseudomonadati; Pseudomonadota; Alphaproteobacteria; Hyphomicrobiales; Methylobacteriaceae. The record is from RNAcentral.
UCGUGGGUGUAGGAGUGUUGAGAGGAUCUGUCCUUAGUACGAGAGGACCGGGAUGGACAUACCUCUGGUGGAGCUGUUGUGGCGCCAGCCGCAGUGCAGCGUAGCUAUGUAUGGACGGGAUAACCGCUGAAUGCAUCUAAGCGGGAAACCCACCUCAAAACGAGCGCUCCCUUGAGAGGCGUGGAAGACGACCACGUUGAUAGGCCGGGUGUGUAAGCGCAGCAAUGCGUUGAGCUUACCGGUACUAAUUCCUCGAUAGGCUUGAACGCUCUCAU